UUCUCUGCAGCCAAAACCUUCUCGCGGCCAAAACCUUCUCGCGUCUAAAGUCCUUUGCCGAACCCAAAACCUCCACCACUCCCUCUCUGCACUCACUCUUCACCGUACAUCUCCGCCCAACCUCUCUCUGAUGAACCACCCUCCAAGAACCUCUCAAUUGAAAUCUUUCCCUGCCUAAACUCUAAACUCCCUCUCCCCGAACUUCUCCACCCACCCUCUUCGGUAAAUCCCUCUCUUCUCUUGAAUGGGUGAAGCAUGAAAAGAAGAUGCUUUUCCCCCUAAACCCUUCACUCUACCCCGACUUCUUGAAUGGAGAUGAGGAAUGUUUCUCUUGACUUCACAUCACCUAGAAGUAAUCAGUAUGCAUUCCAAUAUUUAGAUGCAAUUUGGGAAAUAGACGUGUUUCUUUGGUUGAAAAAUGUCUAGAGUUUUUCUCUUCAUGGGUUUCAUAUUUAUCAAAAGUUUGGAUGAUUUUGUUCAUUUGUUGCCUGCUAGGUUUUGAGACAUCACAUUAAAGAAAAGUUUUUCUAGCGAUUUGAGACUUUUCUCUGUGUUCUCUUAAACUUCCUUUCACUAUCAAUCAUUUUUUUAAAGAUUUUGAUUCUUCUAUUAGUGAGAUUCUUGAAGAUAGAGGUAUUUAAAUUUUUAAUAAAGCGACUACAAGGUGAAAAACCUGAAUGUUUCUUUGUGUCUCGAUGUAGUUUUAAGUUGUUUUCAUCAUGAGAUAUAAAUAUUUAGAUUUUUCUUAAAUCAUCCUGAGACAUCUUGAUUGAAAUGAUUUUCUUGUAGGAAUAAAUGAUGUUGUGGAAUUCAGAUUUUUGUUAAACAAAUAUCUUCUAGUAUUUUCUUCCAAUUACUUGUGUAGGCUAUGCACAAGGAGGCUGAGAGCAAAGUUUCAUUCAAUCACUUGAUUAAUUUGUUUGAUGAUUCUGUUGAAGACAAGAGUGAUUUCUUCCCUCCAAUUUAUACAAGCAGGAUUGCUGAGAGCUUACAUUAUUAAACAGUUACAUUUUGAAAGCAUCAAAAGGGUCAUGGACCCGAUCAGAUCAAGCUACAUUUGGGCUCAAAUCAAGGGC
Long non-coding RNA from Zingiber officinale, 1076 nucleotides. RefSeq lists it as uncharacterized. The record is from RefSeq and is a predicted model, not a curated record. NCBI's taxonomy places the organism in Eukaryota, Viridiplantae, Streptophyta, Magnoliopsida, Zingiberales, Zingiberaceae. The transcript is spliced from 3 exons.